RNAcentral lists this transfer RNA (73 nucleotides) under Felis catus (domestic cat). RNAcentral describes it as "tRNA-Trp (CCA) (tRNA-Trp-CCA-8-1)". It matches the Rfam family "tRNA". From Rfam's summary of the family: Transfer RNA (tRNA) molecules are approximately 80 nucleotides in length. Their secondary structure includes four short double-helical elements and three loops (D, anti-codon, and T loops). The record is from RNAcentral. Lineage: Eukaryota; Metazoa; Chordata; Mammalia; Carnivora; Felidae.
GACUUUGUGGCGCAACGGUAAUCGCCUCUGACUCCAGAUCAGAAGGUUACGUGUUCAAAUCACGUCGAGGUCA